AUGCCUAGGAAAUUGCCCUGAUGUGGGGGAUAACCAUUGGAAACGAUGGCUAAUACCGCAUGAUGCCUACGGGCCAAAGAGGGGGACCUUCGGGCCUCUCGCGUCAGGAUAUGCCUAGGUGGGAUUAGCUAGUUGGUGAGGUAAUGGCUCACCAAGGCGACGAUCCCUAGCUGGUCUGAGAGGAUGAUCAGCCACACUGGAACUGAGACACGGUCCAGACUCCUACGGGAGGCAGCAGUGGGGAAUAUUGCACAAUGGGCGCAAGCCUGAUGCAGCCAUGCCGCGUGUGUGAAGAAGGCCUUCGGGUUGUAAAGCACUUUCAGUCGUGAGGAAGGUGGUAGUGUUAAUAGCACUAUCAUUUGACGUUAGCGACAGAAGAAGCACCGGCUAACUCCGUGCCAGCAGCCGCGGUAAUACGGAGGGUGCGAGCGUUAAUCGGAAUUACUGGGCGUAAAGCGCAUGCAGGUGGUUUGUUAAGUCAGAUGUGAAAGCCCGGGGCUCAACCUCGGAAUAGCAUUUGAAACUGGCAGACUAGAGUACUGUAGAGGGGGGUAGAAUUUCAGGUGUAGCGGUGAAAUGCGUAGAGAUCUGAAGGAAUACCGGUGGCGAAGGCGGCCCCCUGGACAGAUACUGACACUCAGAUGCGAAAGCGUGGGGAGCAAACAGGAUUAGAUACCCUGGUAGUCCACGCCGUAAACGAUGUCUACUUGGAGGUUGUGGCCUUGAGCCGUGGCUUUCGGAGCUAACGCGUUAAGUAGACCGCCUGGGGAGUACGGUCGCAAGAUUAAAACUCAAAUGAAUUGACGGGGGCCCGCACAAGCGGUGGAGCAUGUGGUUUAAUUCGAUGCAACGCGAAGAACCUUACCUACUCUUGACAUCCAGAGAACUUUCCAGAGAUGGAUUGGUGCCUUCGGGAACUCUGAGACAGGUGCUGCAUGGCUGUCGUCAGCUCGUGUUGUGAAAUGUUGGGUUAAGUCCC
Molecule: ribosomal RNA, 979 nt
Filed under: Vibrio harveyi
Lineage: Bacteria; Pseudomonadati; Pseudomonadota; Gammaproteobacteria; Vibrionales; Vibrionaceae
Description: bacterial SSU rRNA
Rfam family: Bacterial small subunit ribosomal RNA
Source: RNAcentral